AGUUCCUCUUAUCCAGUUUUCAGUUCUGUCUCAGGGGUGAUUUUUCCACGAGUAGUUGUAAAUUGGCUGUGUCCACGGGAGGAGGGUAAAUGAGUCAUGUGAGGUUCUGUUCAAGACCUCUUCCUGGACAGGGAGAUUAUCAAAUGCUUCCCUCACCUCUCAUGAGUGUGAAGACUGGCGCUAAUUGUCAUUGACUUUGGCAGGCU
Molecule: long non-coding RNA, 206 nt
Organism: Diceros bicornis minor
Lineage: Eukaryota; Metazoa; Chordata; Mammalia; Perissodactyla; Rhinocerotidae
Exons: 3
Source: RefSeq, a predicted model, not a curated record